Molecule: non-coding RNA, 2420 nt
Organism: Macaca mulatta (Rhesus monkey)
Lineage: Eukaryota; Metazoa; Chordata; Mammalia; Primates; Cercopithecidae
Source: RefSeq, a predicted model, not a curated record
GUACAUCCCUCGGAGCGUUCUGUCAUCCUCAUCAACUUCUGCCUGUCCAUCAUCUCCUCCAAUGCCCUCAUUCCUCAUCGGGCAGACCCAGACCCGAAACAAGGUGGUGUGCACGCUGGUGGCCGCCUUCCUGCACUUCUUCUUCCUGUCCUCCUUCUGCUGGGUGCUCACCGAGGCCUGGCAGUCCUACAUGGCCGUGACGGGCCACCUCCGGAACCGCCUCAUCCGCAAGCGCUUCCUCUGCCUGGGCUGGGGGCUCCCUGCACUGGUGGUGGCCAUUUCCGUGGGAUUCACCAAGGCCAAAGGGUACAGCACCAUGAACUACUGCUGGCUCUCCCUGGAGGGAGGACUGCUCUAUGCCUUCGUGGGACCGGCUGCUGCCGUUGUGCUGGUGAACAUGGUCAUUGGGAUCCUGGUGUUCAACAAGCUCGUGUCCAAAGACGGCAUCACGGACAAGAAGCUGAAGGAGCGGGCAGGGGCCUCCCUGUGGAGCUCCUGCGUGGUGCUGCCGCUGCUGGCGCUGACCUGGAUGUCGGCCGUGCUCGCCGUCACCGACCGCCGCUCCGCCCUCUUCCAGAUCCUCUUCGCCGUCUUCGACUCGCUGGAGGGCUUUGUCAUCGUCAUGGUGCACUGUAUCCUCCGUAGAGAGGUCCAGGACGCUGUGAAAUGUCGUGUGGUUGACCGGCAGGAGGAGGGCAACGGAGACUCGGGAGGCUCCUUCCAGAACGGCCACGCACAGCUCAUGACCGACUUCGAGAAGGACGUGGAUCUGGCCUGUAGAUCAGUGCUGAACAAGGACAUCGGCCUGCCGUACAGCCACCAUCACGGGCACACUGAAGCGGCCGUCUCUGCCUGAGGAGGAGAAGCUGAACUGGCCCAUGCCAAGGGGCCGCCCACCAAUUUCAACAGCCUGCCGGCCAACGUGUCCAAGCUGCACCUGCCACGGCUCACCCCGUUAUCCCGGCGGGCCCCUGCCCGACUUCCCCAACCACUCACUGACCCUCAAGAGGGACAAGGCGCCCAAGUCCUCCUUCGUCGGUGACGGGGACAUCUUCAAGAAGCUGGACUCGGAGCUGAGCCGGGCCCAGGAGAAGGCUCUGACACGAGCUACGUGAUCUUACCCACGGCCACGGCCACGCUGCGGCCCAAGCCCAAGGAGGAGCCCAAGUACAGCAUCCACAUUGACCAGAUGCCGCAGACCCGCCUCAUCCACCUCAGCACGGCACCCGAGGCCACCCCUCCCUGCCCGCAGCCCGCCCUCCCGCCAGGCCCCCAGUGGCGGGCCCCUGAGGCGCCCCCUGCCCAGCCCCCACCGCCCCCGCCCCCACCUCCCCACCUCCCCAGCAACCCCUGCCCCCACCGCCCAGUCUGGAGCCAGCACCCCCCAGCCUGGGGGAGCCCGGGGAGCCUGCGGCCCAUCCGGGACCCAGCACGGGGCCCAGCACCAAGAACGAGAAUGUCGCCACCUUGUCUGUGAGCUCCCUGGAGCGGCGGAAGUCUCGGUAUGCAGAACUGGACUUUGAGAAGAUCAUGCACACCCGGAAGCGGCACCAAGACAUGUUCCAGGACCUGAACCGGAAGCUGCAGCACGCAGCGGAGAAGGACAAGGAGGUGCUGGGCCCGGACAGCAAGCCAGAAAAGCAGCAGACGCCCAACAAGAGGCCUUGGGAGAGCCUCCGGAAAGCCCACGGGACGCCCACGUGGGUGAAGAAGGAGCUGGAGCCGCUGCAGCCGUCGCCGCUGGAGCUUCGCAGCGUGGAGUGGGAGAGGUCGGGUGCCACGAUCCCGCUGGUGGGCCAGGACAUCAUCGACCUCCAGACCGAGGUCUGAGCGGGUGGGCGGCGGCCACGCACUGGGCCAUGGAGGAGGGAUGCUGCUCCGCUCGCUCCUGCCGCAGACGGGCACAGACACGCUCGCGGGCGGCGGGCCAGGCCCGCGCCCCGGCCUCAGGGCGCUCAGACGGCGGCCAGGCACAGGGCCCGCAGUGCUGGGACCAGAGCCAGAUGCAGGACAGGAGGCAGCCCGGCCAGCGGGCACAGGGCACCAGAGGCUGAAGGUGACUCAGACUCUGCCCUCCUCGGGCCGAGGCCCGGCGGGCAGAUGGGCAGACGGCUGUGGACCAUGGACAGGCCCAGUGCGGCCAGCGUCCCAGGGUGCCCACCUGAGCUCCUGCUGCGGAGGACCAGCCUGCUUGGCCCGGCCGGCCUGGCACCGUUUUUUAAACACCCCCAUCCCUUGGGAAGCAGCCAGCCCCCUACACCUUCCAGGGCCCUGGGCCCCUCCUAGACCCAGGUGGAGAGCACAGCCCUCCGACCCUCACGGCCCCCAGGGGCAGGACUGAGCCCCCUCCAGGAAGAAGCAGGGGGGAAUCUAUUUUUUCUCUCCUUUUCUUUUCUUCAAUAAAAAGAAUUAAAAACCCA